GUGAACUCGAAGAGUAGGGCGGGACACGUGGUAUCCUGUCUGAAUAUGGGGGGACCAUCCUCCAAGGCUAAAUACUCCUGACUGACCGAUAGUGAACCAGUACCGUGAGGGAAAGGCGAAAAGAACCCCGGCGAGGGGAGUGAAAAAGAACCUGAAACCGUGUACGUACAAGCAGUAGGAGCCUCUUUAUGGGGUGACUGCGUACCUUUUGUAUAAUGGGUCAGCGACUUAUAUUCUGUAGCAAGGUUAACCGUAUAGGGGAGCCGCAGGGAAACCGAGUCUUAACUGGGCGUUAAGUUGCAGGGUAUAGACCCGAAACCCGGUGAUCUAGCCAUGGGCAGGUUGAAGGUUGGGUAACACUAACUGGAGGACCGAACCGACUAAUGUUGAAAAAUUAGCGGAUGACUUGUGGCUGGGGGUGAAAGGCCAAUCAAACCGGGAGAUAGCUGGUUCUCCCCGAAAGCUAUUUAGGUAGCGCCUCGUGAACUCAUCUUCGGGGGUAGAGCACUGUUUCGGCUAGGGGGUCAUCCCGACUUACCAACCCGAUGCAAACUACGAAUACCGAAGAAUGUUAUCACGGGAGACACACGGCGGGUGCUAACGUCCGUCGUGAAGAGGGAAACAACCCAGACCGCCAGCUAAGGUCCCAAAGUCAUGGUUAAGUGGGAAACGAUGUGGGAAGGCCCAGACAGCCAGGAUGUUGGCUUAGAAGCAGCCAUCAUUUAAAGAAAGCGUAAUAGCUCACUGGUCGAGUCGGCCUGCGCGGAAGAUGUAACGGGGCUAAACCAUGCACCGAAGCUGCGGCAGCGACACUAUGUGUUGUUGGGUAGGGGAGCGUUCUGUAAGCCGUUGAAGGUGGCCUGUGAGGGUUGCUGGAGGUAUCAGAAGUGCGAAUGCUGACAUAAGUAACGAUAAUGCGGGUGAAAAACCCGCACGCCGGAAGACCAAGGGUUCCUGUCCAACGUUAAUCGGGGCAGGGUGAGUCGACCCCUAAGGCGAGGCCGAAAGGCGUAGUCGAUGGGAAACAGGUUAAUAUUCCUGUACUCGGUGUUACUGCGAAGGGGGGACGGAGAAGGCUAUGUUGGCCGGGCGACGGUUGUCCCGGUUUAAGCAUGUAGGCGGAUGUUCCAGGUAAAUCCGGAACGUUAUCAACGCUGAGGUGUGAUGACGAGGCACUACGGUGCUGAAGUGACAAAUGCCCUGCUUCCAGGAAAAGCCUCUAAGCAUCAGGUAACAUCAAAUCGUACCCCAAACCGACACAGGUGGUCAGGUAGAGAAUACCAAGGCGCUUGAGAGAACUCGGGUGAAGGAACUAGGCAAAAUGGUGCCGUAACUUCGGGAGAAGGCACGCUGAUAUGUAGGUGAAGUGGUUUACCCAUGGAGCUGAAAUCAGUCGAAGAUACCAGCUGGCUGCAACUGUUUAUUAAAAACACAGCACUGUGCAAACACGAAAGUGGACGUAUACGGUGUGACGCCUGCCCGGUGCCGGAAGGUUAAUUGAUGGGGUUAUCCGUAAGGAGAAGCUCUUGAUCGAAGCCCCGGUAAACGGCGGCCGUAACUAUAACGGUCCUAAGGUAGCGAAAUUCCUUGUCGGGUAAGUUCCGACCUGCACGAAUGGCGUA
This 1622-nucleotide ribosomal RNA is filed under the name human gut metagenome. RNAcentral's name for it is "bacterial LSU rRNA". It matches the Rfam family "Bacterial large subunit ribosomal RNA", at positions 399 to 2003 of the family's 2925-position model. The record is from RNAcentral.